UAGAACUAACAAACAAACUUCAAAAAAUCCAGAUUCCACAUAAUUCAACAUUGGCUUCAUUUGACAUCUCCAAUCUGUACACCAAUGUACCUAUACAGGAGACAAUAAAAUACCUAGAAGAUAUGCUACAAUCAAACAACACCCCACAGGACAUUAUGCAAGAAAUAAUAACUCUAACCAAACUUGUAACCUCACAAAACUAUUUUGAAUUCAAUAGUAAAUUUUAUUUUCAACCCCAUGGCCUCCCUAUGGGAUCACCCAUAUCUUGCAUUCUAGCAGAGAUUUUCAUUCACACUAUAGAACAAAAACACAUCCUACACAACCAUGAUCCCAAAUCACACAUCCAAUCCAAUAGAAUACUCACUUGGUUCCGAUAUGUAGAUGACAUAUUAAUACUAUACAGGGGGAACAAACGACAACUUGAAACACUACACACCCACCUCAACCGCAUACACCCAAAUUUGACGUUCACACUUGAAUUAGAAACCAACAACAGCAUAAAUUUCCUGGAUAUCACCAUCACAAAACAGAACCAAUCAUUCAAAAUAUACAGAAAGCCCAAAACAACCGACACCACAAUCCAUUGCACUUCAAAUCACCCUAUGCAACACAAACUUGCAGCCUACAACCACAUGCUAUACAGAUUAAUAAAUAUCCCAAUGACAACCACAGAUUACAACACUGAACUGCACACAAUAAAAUAUAUUGCACAACAAAAUGGAUACAAACCCUCAAUGAUUGACAAACUACUACAAAAAAUUAAAAACAACAAGAACAAUCCACAAAACUCUGACAAAUACAACACUGAUAAUCAUACAGCAUUCGUCACCCUCACAUACCACAACAAUAAAACUUACAAAAUAGCAGCAUCAUUCAAGAAAAUAAAAUACAAGGUUGCAUACAGAACAAAAAACUCACUGAAAAAACUCUUGUCCCCACACAACACCUCUCAAAAUCAAUACAAUAGACCAGGAAUUUAUAAGCUAAAUUGUAGAGAUUGCAGCAAAUUCUACAUAGCUAAAACAGCUAGAAAUUUCAAUAUAAGAUUCAAAGAACACACAAGAGCCAUUACCCAUCCGUCCUCCCAUUCCACCUUUGCAGAACACAUUAUCUCCACUGACCACACACACCCUGACAUAGACAACAACCUCGAAAUACUCCACUAUUCCCACAAAAACAGAAAAUUAAAUGUUCUAGAACAGUUUUAAAUAUACAAACACACCAAACAGUAUUCUAAAUGACCAAAUCAACUUUUCCUCCCACACCCUGUUUGACAAACUCAUUUAAAUAUCCUCCAUUAACCACCAAAACUCCCCUCCACCCCAACCAAAUUUCACCCUCAUAACCUUAAACACUUCAGUUCCUGUUUGGCUUGAAAAUGUGCGAUACCAGCACGAAACGGACGUCGCCACAUCAAAUAAUGUGAGUGCUUUUUCACUUAAAAGUUUUAUAAAAUUUAAUAGUGAUAAUUAUAGUGGAAACAAGAUGGAUAACCAACAACAAUAUUCAUUUAGUUGAGUUUUGCACAUUCUAUACAUAACCCAAUGUUGCAAUAGUUUCAAUCAUAAUAAAACAACAAAUUCUUUACAAACAAUAAAUUGUAAUUUAUUCAGGUACUACUACUAUAGUACAUAGUUGUAAUCUCGUUUCUCACUAACCAAGCUUUGCGCCCCCCCUGAGCAUCAUUCAUCGCGCCCCCCUUGGGGGUCGCGCCCCACACUUUGAGAGCCACUGCAUUAGAGCAUUCAUGUUACAUGAAAUUUAAAAUAAUGAUAAUAUCAUUAUAUUCAUGCCAGAUUUCAUCAGUUUGUAAAAUUUCCAUGUGCCAUGGAAUAGGUAAAACUAUCAAUCAGACAAUGGAUAUAAGCAGAUCUCAAACAUGUGAGGCAAGGCAAUGGUUCAACAAUCACAGGCUGAAAUUGAAUGAAGACAAAACCCAGGUAUUAUAGUCUGUACAAAGAAAAAUGAUAUUAGACUUACAGACAAUGCCCUAGUGAAAUUACUUGGUUUCUGGAUUGACAGCAAAUUAUGUUGGAGUGAUCACUUAAGUAAUGUCUGCAUUAAGCUGUUACUCACUAGGGUUACUCACUUGCUGCUUAAAUUGAGGAACAUUGUCUCUGCAAACUACUUGCUUAUACAGUAUAUCACGCAUUGCUUCAUACACAUGUCACAUAUGGCCUCCUAAUGUGGGGACACACUCCAUAUUGCAAGGAUGUGCUACUGAUUCAAAAAAGAGCUCUGAGAAUAAUGACGUUCUCCAAUAAAUUAUUUGGAACAUUGCAGGCCGCUGUUCAGAAAGCUUCAAAUAAUGACUGUUUACAGCCAAUAUAUUUUCGUUGCAUUGAUGCAUGUGAGGAAGAAUAAUGAACAAAUGAAAAGGAGAAAUGAGGUCCACAACUACAAAACACGGUAGCAGGGAACCUGGAAAUUCCAUGAACUCGAUUGACAAGCAACAGAGGAGCUUCCAGAUAGCAGCAUUGAAGAUCUUCAAAAAACUUCCCACCGAUGUUCAGGAGAUUCGAGAAAGCCCUGAAAACCCAACUUCUUGAGCGGCCCUUGUACUACGCUCAAUGAACUGGACGAAGAGACACUUUUUACCCGGCUGGGUAUACGACUAUGACGCGGUCUAUCUGGCACCCCCAGUCAACGACCCAGACAUCAAGUAUCAAGUGGAUCCUGAGCCAUCAAAGGUCUCUGAUGAAGGGCCAGUAGAGGUAUCAGACAUCAAAUACAUCAUUGAUACAGAAGACAGGCUUGGCGAGCUGAAACUUCUCGAAGCAGUAAAGGUAACUUCAUAUGCAUCCAAGUAUUUAUUCAGGGACGCGACAGUCGAGGCCUGCAACCGUCGAGGACUGCGACAUUUGAGGACGGAUUUUCAGUCCUCUACGGUCACAGUCUUCAACUGUCGGGGCUGUACAAAAAUUAAAGAUUCCUCAACGGUAUUUGUAAAAAUUCAUUGAUUGUAUAAUCAAUAAGAUCUUUUGAAUCAUCAUCACCAUAAGACAGUAUUAACCAAUAAAAACAUCAAUGCAAAAUUUUCCUCUAUUUUUCAAAAUCUUGCAAUGGAUAGUAUCCAGUUCACUUCAAUAGAUAAGAAUUCAGUAUGCUCCAAAGAAAAGCUGCAAACACUUUUCAAUAGCUUACGUCUUUUCUCUUUCUAUUAAUAAUAAUUUUGAAAAUUAUGUUUGCAUUAGAACAUGUAAAACUGAAGAACAAGGAGAGUUUUUUCUAAUCUUAUUAUCUUGUCUUCCAUAGAACGCACUGAAAUGUGAAUCUCCUCCAUUUCUUAAACAUGGAUUUGUAAUCUAUAAUGUACUGAGAAUUUGACAUCCAAGUUCGAUACUUUACAAAAAAAUCUGGUGUGGUACACUCACACAACUUUCCUUGCUCAUCGAACUGUAAGCCUCAUUCUUAGACGAGAAUAAUUUAGGGGAAUAACAUAAUGACGAUUGGCGGCAAAAU
Molecule: RNA transcript, 3462 nt
Organism: Nilaparvata lugens (brown planthopper)
Lineage: Eukaryota; Metazoa; Arthropoda; Insecta; Hemiptera; Delphacidae
Exons: 3
Source: RefSeq, a predicted model, not a curated record